Molecule: long non-coding RNA, 529 nt
Organism: Folsomia candida
Lineage: Eukaryota; Metazoa; Arthropoda; Collembola; Entomobryomorpha; Isotomidae
Exons: 2
Source: RefSeq, a predicted model, not a curated record
CUCAUGCGAAAUUUUAGCCAUGAUACCAGCACUCUACUUACUUUUAAAAUUUCACAUGUUAUUACAUCUUCAUUCUUAAGUGUACCGUUGAGUGUGGGUGGUUACUUCCGGAAACUUGAAUACAAUUUCAACUCCGCGUUCUCAGAUAAAGUGAUUGAUUAUGAUUAUUUGAUUAACACAUAAAUUUUUGAUAUUCUACGUUGAGCUUCCCAAAAAAGAACUGAGUUUGUGGUUGCACUCUUUGGUUUUUUAUUUCCUGGUGAGGGUAAAGAAAUCGCAAUAUGAUUCGCUCAUUGACUAGGCGGAGUGAAAGCUUGGGGAGAGGAAAGUGAAUAAAAGUGGUCGAAUAAAUAAGUUCGCGGAGAGAUUGGCAGUCUGGUCAGGUGCUUAAUGGUUAAUCGUGAUUGAAUGAGUAAAGCGUUGGAAAUCAUACGAAUCAUGCACUUUCUCCAAACAACACCAUGUACAAAUAAGAGAUCAUUACUCCCUUCUCCGCCUCCCUGUGUCGCCACGGCCAUGUCGUCAACCC